Non-coding RNA from Leptonychotes weddellii (Weddell seal), 1789 nucleotides. The record is from RefSeq and is a predicted model, not a curated record. Lineage: Eukaryota; Metazoa; Chordata; Mammalia; Carnivora; Phocidae.
UGGACCAGGACCUGGACCUGCUCCUCCUUCGGGGCCGGCUCCGACUCCGCGACGACGCCCGGCUCGAGCCGCUGGAGCGGGACCGAGAGCUCCCAGAAGACGAGCGGCUCCUGGACGCCGAGGACAGGCGGCUGGACCGGCCCGACCGAGACGUCGAGGGGGACUCCUCGUCCUGCGGCGAGCCGGGCCACAGGUCGUUCACGUACUGAGACAUCUCGGCCCGAGGCUGCAAACUUCCCUCCGUCUCUCAGGAUCCCUACCCGGAAACUAGGCGCCUAAGAACAACCGGGGGGGGGGGACCGGAAGUGAGUCGCGCGGUAGGGCCCCAAGCCAAUAAACUAACCGAGCCGCUCCGACUCCCAGAAGUGGCAAUCUCAAAGGCCAGCCUGCCCGCGUCCCCUUCGUGCGUCACCCCCGCCUCACGUACCUGGGACCGACCCCGUCACCAGUAAACUUACCACCACAGGCCGCCAACGCCACACCGAAGGCCAAAGGAAAGGACGAACAGAGGCCUUCCUUUCCGAAGCUGAAGAUGAAGAGAGGCUUUUCAAAGCGGCUCUUGAAAAACCAGAUACUCGACCUCUCCCUCCAACCUCCAGACGCCGACGUCCGCAGACGCGCCUAAAAUACCAGAAGCUGACGCGCAGAGCAUGCGCAGAAACGUUGGAGCGGUGGGCGUGGCUCCCCUCUCGCCCAACCGCCGCCCUUUCUCCUCUCUUCCCGCGCCCCGCCCCACCCCGCCCACCUUGCGCAAAGUCCUGGAUGCGCAGGAGUCUCGUCCCCGGUGGGGGAAGCGGGGGUGGACCUGCUGCAUCCGGGUAUCCGUGGGCAUGUUCUUUGUUGAAACUGGUAGAGUGGCGGAUUUUCGCGCGACCUUCUGCUGGGCGGGUGCGGGCUGGGCCGUUGCCUCCACCCUCUGGGAAGUUGCAGAAUCGGGCUGAACCUCCCUGGACCCUUCACGGCCACUUCUUCCUGACCAGUGCCGGGCUGCGGACUUCCCAGGAUCUCUAUCCAAGAGACAGGAUCAGAGGAACUUUCAACCAAGGGGCCCAUCUAGAGUGAGCUACAAAGAGGAAAAAGAGCUCUGAGUGAUUCUGACAUAGAAGACAUAUUCAUCGAUCUUAUAUCACAGUCUACUCCUUAUUCCUGGACAGUAGGACAUCAUGUGGUAUCCAGUUUUUCCACCACUAAAAACUAUGCCUUGGAACCAGUGUUGGAUUCUGGAAAUGUCAGCAGUUGCAGAGCUCCUCUGAAUGCUCCUAAUCCAUGGUUUCAAGGUCAACAGAGCCAUGUUCAGGAUACAACCUGGAGCAGCUGAUUGCAAUUAAUAUCCCAGCACUAUCUGAGGAGUUACCUCCAAGAUAUGUGACAUGGUAGCUCAGGGGUAAGUUCAGCUCUCUCAGACCAAGAGACAGGAUCAGAGGAGCUUUCAACCAAGGGGCCCAUCUAGAGUGAGCUACAAAGAGGAAAAAGAGCUCUGAGUGAUUCUGACAUAGAGACAUAUUCAUCGAUCUUAUAUCACAGACAAGUUGAUAUCAGACAUCUCUGUUGUUAGAGCGGCUGUAGAAUCAUUAGCUACAGUCACCAGUGCAACAAUCAAGGCAAGUAACACAAAGAUCAAUAAACUCCAGUCUGAUGUGACAUUCCUGUGUUCCAGUAUGUCCCAAGGAACUCCUCCCACUGGUUCAAUCAUCACCCCAUGUGGGUUCAUGCUUCCACUGCCUACAGUUAUUGAGCUGAGCUAUUAUUCCUUUUUUUUUUUAAGAUUUUAUUUAUUUAUUUGAUACAG